This is a long non-coding RNA of Xyrauchen texanus (razorback sucker), 352 nucleotides long. RefSeq lists it as uncharacterized. The transcript is spliced from 3 exons. The record is from RefSeq and is a predicted model, not a curated record. Lineage: Eukaryota; Metazoa; Chordata; Actinopteri; Cypriniformes; Catostomidae.
AGUAAUUCUGCCUCAUUGGAAGAUGAUCAGUAUCACCCCAAUCACUCAAUGAAUGACAAAUAUUUAAACAACUUGGAGGGGACACUACUUGAACUACUGAGAUUGGAUAAAUUGGACUAAGUAAAAAAGGGUUCUAAUGCUCCGGCAGCUGCUGCGUCACCUCAACCUUCGACUUCUAAUGAAUCCAGAAGCCAUGAUGCUGACCUCAUAUGCCCCCUGGAAGAAUCGGCAAAUCAGAUGUUGGUGUUAGAAGCAGUUCCACCACUUGAUAUCCGACAGGUUCUUUCUGCAGUGUCCAGUGGCAGAGAAAUAAUAAAUAAUCUUCAAGACACUGGAGUCAUCAAUAGAAAAC